Equus caballus (horse) is the source of this 4954-nucleotide long non-coding RNA. The record is from Ensembl. Lineage: Eukaryota; Metazoa; Chordata; Mammalia; Perissodactyla; Equidae.
CCAGCUCACUACUCCCUGAAGGGCACUUUCAAGAAAGUUCAAUCAAUGGAAGGGUCAAAUGUUUUCUUUUUCAAACGUCCAUUUUGCAUGUAAUGGCUGCUCCAUGCAGAGUUUACGGGUGUUCUCUUGUUCAUGAGAUCUAGCGUCCUUCUGCACAAAUGCAUGUGCUAUGGGUAAGAAAUUACUUCAACUGAGUUUAUUGGCAUUUCUUAGAGCAUAUGAGUUCAAAGAAAAUUAUUACAGGUCUUGGAAAAAUGGACUUCCACUUAACAGAAGGAAAUAUGGAGUCUUCAAGAAGUUAAGUCACAAACCUCAAGCUACAUAAGUCACUGGUCAGCUCUGUGGAUGAGCAGCUCUCCUGAGGGGCACUGUGUACCCUGGGGGCUCCCUCUGUGAGUGUGGAGGCAGUGCCACGGAUCCCUGGAGUCUUGGUGCUCUGGAGAGCUCUCUGUUUCUGACCAACGUGACGCAUUUUCUUUAAUUCCCAGUUGUCACACUGCAGACAUUCAUUCUCCUAUCUAUAGCCAUUGUUACUGGGCGUGCUAGAAAUAAUAAGCUGGAGGGAAUAGGGCAGCCUUUCAGAAGACAGACCCAUGAGAAAUAACCCCAAAUAGAAGCAGUGAGUUGCCAUUUCUCGCUCACUCAGCUGAUGUUCUGGAGCACUUCUCGUGUGCUAGACUCCAUGAGUGCUGGACGGGAGGGACACCAUAGGCGAAUCUGACCCAACCUGUCUAGCAUAGAACUGCAAAUAAGUAGAAAAGACUGUGUUAUGUUAACCUUGGCCAAGUUAACUUGGACCUUAGUUUCCUAAUGUAAAAGGAGGCUUGGGCCAGGUGGUUCCCUAAGAUGUGUUUUAAUUCUCUGAUUCAUAUUUAUAUGAAACUUUACCCUAAGUUCCUUAAAGAAAUCCUAAAGGACAGAGGGAUAUAAAAAGAAACAUAAACAUUUUAAAUGAUUUUAGAACAUCUUAAUUUCCUCUCCAUAAUGUCUUAGAAUGAACUAAUAAUGAUGGCUUCAUCCAGGGAGCCAAUUUUAGCUCAACAUUUAGGAGUCAUUGUGGACAAUUCCCAAGGGCCUCAACUGUCCCUUCCUUUGUUUUCCUUUUUGCCCCUUCUGGUUUGCUUCUGCUCAAGUUUUCCAUGUCAAUUUUUUGCCAUCUCUCCCUGCCUGCUGGUUCCUCCAUAUGGUUUACUGCCCGUGUUAAUUCACUUUUAUUUGACCCCUAGAACCAUCCAUCAAAUUCUCAUGUGGCUAUUGGCAUAUCAUUGUUUUAGUAGGGGGCUCAGAGCUUUCCAUUGAUUUCUGGCCAAAAUUCCUGUAACUCUUGCUGCUCUUUCUUCCUCCAUCCUCAUCUGUCUUUAGCUGUUAAAAAGUGAUAUUAGCAUUUAGGGGACUUCCCCCAUCCACUCUCAUAUUUCCUUCCCCCAAAUCUCAGUUUUCAAAAAUGAACAAAGUAAUAAUGCAGGAGACACUAUUAUGCUAAGAAAACCAGGAUUUUACUUAUUAAAGAAGUGGAGAUUCAAAUCAUAAUAGAUUUGAAUUUUCUUUGGAAAACUUAUUACGUUCUAUUAAGUUGUAUGUGAGUUAGGCUCACAAGCUAUGGUUUGUAUUGUUAUAAUUACCAGAUGGAAUAAAGAUUAUAAAACACACUGAAGAAGGAAAUGCAGCUUGAGAAUAUUUUAAAAGUGUUAAUUCAAGGCAUUUCAAUUUUUUUAUUAGCCCCUUUGUAAUUACAAAGUACAAGUUAAAUGAAAGUACAAGCUAAAUGAAACUAAAGAAUAGGAUAAAAGAAGGAAGAUAUUUUAAAGGACUCAAUUUAAUGUAAUUGUCAGACAUUCCCAGUUUUGCCCAAAGGCACCUCCAUCCAUCUGUCCAUCUAUCCAUUCAAUAACUGGGCACUGAAGGGGUAGGCGUAUGGUACAUACAACAAACGAAUUGGAUGUUGUCUCUUCUAUGCAUCUUUCAUUCUAAUGGGUGGAGACCAAAAAACGAGAACAAAAAAACAAGUAAACAAAUAAAAGAACAUAAUAAUUUCAAAAUGUGGUAAGUUCUAUGAGAAAUGGUGGAGGGGAGCAGAUGUUAGAGAAUGCCCUGGGGAACACUUUAGGGUCCUAACGUCUGAGGAGGUGGCAUUGGAGAGGAAGCCUGACGAUGAGAAAGAACUAAUCAUACAGAUAGGCAAACAAAGAGUGUUCUGAGGUGGAAAUAUUAAUGUUCUUUACAGGGAAAAUGAACUCCCACCCCAGAAACGCAUUUUCUGAAAGGGCUUUAAGAUGGUGAGAGAAACGGCCAGUCAGGAGACAGUUGUGUACACCGAACUCUAGCUGAGGAAACAGUAAGUCCUUACAGUGAUGUUUCUAAAGACAGAGAUGAUUCGGGCCUGACUGCCACUUAACCUGUCCUCAUUUUCUCUAUUCAGCCACAGUGACCUCCUUGCCCCUCUUUGAACAUUCUAGGCAUGCUCCCACCUCAAGGCCAGCUCUUCCUCUGUCUAGAAUGCUCUUCCCCCAAAGAGUCACUCUCUUGCUCUCUCACUUCCUUUGGGUCUUUGGUCAAAUAUCACCUUUUCACUGAGGCCUUCUCUGCCCAUCAUAUUUAGAUGUGAAUGCCCUGCUCCUACUAUGGCUGUAUUUGUUUAUUUUCCAUGAAACAUCAUCAGCUUAUGUGAUAUAUAUUAAUUAUUUUGUUUACCAUCCAGCCCUCCCUCCACUAGAAUGUAAACUCCAUGAGGGUAGGAAAUUUCAUCAGCUUUGUUUAGCACAUAACCCCAGGUCCUAGAAUCACACCUAGCAUAUAUUAGGUGCUCUCUCUAUUUGUUAAGUAAUGAAAGAAUAAAUGAAUGGUCACAUUUGCAGAACUAAAGCUCUACCAUUAUAAAAGGAAAUUAUUGUACUUUAGGCUAAACAUGGUAAAUGGAAUCUACGUGUUUAUCUCUAUUGCCUCCAGAAAUGCCUCUAAAAGAAUUUAAAAGGCAUAAACACACAAGGACUAGGAGAACAAGAAGAGACCGCAGCAGAAAAGAGAUUUCAACAAAAUUUUGACGGCUGAUAGUCUUAACUAUUUUGCCAGGCUGGGAAGAGCUGAAACUUAAGCCUGCAGGGAAGAAACCAAUUAGAAACAAGCUGUUUGUGCCAUGGGUCCUUAGAAAGGCUCAGGAUUUGGAGGCAUCUUGUUCCUCCCAUGCACCUUUCUCAGGAAGCUGCUAGAGGAUGUACUCCACCCAAACACGGGAGAAAUCAAGAAGAAAAACCUAGGACUGAGGAAACAGGGAUCUAACAGAAGAGAUAAGUAAAGGAAAUUUCCAGGAUGAGAGUGAAGGGAAGUCCCAGCCUGACCAAUGGUUAGCAGGCCUAGCGAGCAACUGGGCCAAAUUGUAGGAGGAGGACAAAAGACUCCAAGGUUGAUGUCUUGAAAAAGGAAGAAGAAACUGAUAACCUGGUGUAUUUGAACAUACAGAAAGGAGACUUUAUAGUUCUAUCAGAGGAUUUAGAGUUUGUUUAGUUAUAGGAUCAUGGAAAACUAAGCAAAUGAGAAAAGCAAUGAUUAACUUCAGGGAAAACAAAAAGCUAUACAAAAAAGGAAAUGGAAUUAUACUCUACUACUAUGGCUCAACUGUGAAUAAUAUUUACUGGUUCAUCACUAUACAACAUUGAGAGACUGGAGGAGAGCAAGUGUUUGACGUGUGUGGAAAAGUGGUAAUAUAAGAAGAAAGAAACCCAAUAUCUUCCAUAGUUGAGAGUCAGUAGAUACUAUCUAAAACUGAAAAGUCAAAAAAUAAGAGUAGUGACAUUUAGAAAUAUGUAGAUAAAAACAAGAAGAAAUGGCUAAAAAUUGAAAGUGGUGACCUCUGGAAAGCAGGAUUAAGAGUAGGGAGGACUAAACAGGAACUGUAGUUUUUCCUUAGAAGCCAAAUAAACCUUGACUUUCUAAGCUAUGUGCACAGGUUAUAUUUAGAUAUAAAUAAAAACUAAAUAAGAAGAAUUUAUGCUUUCUUAUUAAUCUUGAGGGAAAGAUCUUGAAGAAAGACCUGUUCAUCUUAGGAUACUCAUACAUAGAAGAUAUUUGUUAAAUAAUGAGUGAAUGAAUGAAUGAGAGCUGUCAUGAGCUUCUUUAGAGCUCAGAACACAUCGCUGGCAGCAGGUGGAAUGAUGAGAGGUCCUGCGUCGGGAAACGACUUAAGGAAGCCCAGAGAAGAUGAGCAAUUGCGUACCUCUCCACAAUGAAACCCUGGGGUUUCUGCUCAGUUUAACCUAUUACACAGUGUAAGGCUGGCAAAAAUUGCUCAUUUCCAUAGAGCUGACUCCGCAGAUUUGAAAAGUCCUGAAUGGGAAAUAAAUACGCUGCUCUUAAUAAAUGUCUAGUUAAGGUAUAGUUAAUAUAGUUAAAUGUGAAAGUGUAUAAAUGAUAUAUUUUAAUAGCAUUCAGAGCACAUUUCAGCAUCGAGAUAAAUGCAAACUUAGAAAAAAUUCUAACAUCCUCUAAACACAUUGCCUUAUCAGAGCAAAUGAUAAAUUACUAAAGAAAAAUGUUAUUCUGCAAUGUUUUGAAGAUUAAGUAGAGUAUGAGUGAAAUUAACAUUGUGUGUAAGUGAAGCUGUGACUAUAUCAUGUCAGGGUGGCAAUAAAAUUGCAGAGGGGAGAGAAUUAGAGUUUUAUGCCACAGAAAUGGAAGUAGUUUUCAUUUUAAUUGUUUUUCUUUAAAUGGAUUGUUUCUGUAAUAUACUGUAUUCUUUCCAGUUCACAGAUGUUCAGGAGGGAUAAAAGAGUUAUAAAAUAUUCUAAUGUGGGCCUUUAAAAUAGCUUUUUUGGAACAGAAAAAGAGCAGCUUAAAGAAUUCAGAAUUUUUAAAGUACAAUAAAGCAUUCACAUUGCAAAUUUAGUGAUUCGCCUUUUGUGAUAUAGAAAAACAAAUGGCCUUUUAACAUUUAUGCCACGGCUGGCCUUUUAGUCAAAUA